Molecule: ribosomal RNA, 577 nt
Filed under: uncultured bacterium
Lineage: Bacteria
Description: bacterial SSU rRNA
Rfam family: Bacterial small subunit ribosomal RNA
Source: RNAcentral
UGCUUAACACAUGCAAGUCGCACGGUUUGGGGGCAACUCCAGGCAGUGGCGGACGGGUGAGUAACGCGUAGGCAUCUAUCCAAUGGUGGGGGACAACCGCGGGAAACUGCGGCUAAUACCGCAUGAUGACUUUGGCUGAGAAGUUAAGGUCCAAAGCUUGCAAGAGCGCCGAUGGAGGAGCCUGCGUCCGAUUAGCUUGUUGGUGGGGUAACGGCCUACCAAGGCGACGAUCGGUAGCUGGUCUGAGAGGAUGAUCAGCCACAUUGGGACUGAGACACGGCCCAAACUCCUACGGGAGGCAGCAGUGGGGAAUAUUGGACAAUGGGCGCAAGCCUGAUCCAGCAAUGCCGCGUGUGUGAAGAAGGUCUUCGGAUUGUAAAGCACUUUCGACGGGGACGAUGAUGACGGUACCCGUAGAAGAAGCCCCGGCUAACUUCGUGCCAGCAGCCGCGGUAAUACGAAGGGGGCUAGCGUUGCUCGGAAUGACUGGGCGUAAAGGGCGCGUAGGCGGCGAACAUAGUCAGGCGUGAAAUUCCUGGGCUCAACCUGGGGACUGCGCUUGAUACGUGUUUGCUUG